GCCUGGGUGGCUCAGUUGGUAGAGCAUCCGACGUCAGCUCCGGUCACGAUCUCAUGUUCGUGGGUUCGAGCCCCGCGUCGGGCU
RNAcentral lists this transfer RNA (84 nucleotides) under Felis catus (domestic cat). It matches the Rfam family "tRNA". Rfam says of the family: Transfer RNA (tRNA) molecules are approximately 80 nucleotides in length. Their secondary structure includes four short double-helical elements and three loops (D, anti-codon, and T loops). Further hydrogen bonds mediate the characteristic L-shaped molecular structure. tRNAs have two regions of fundamental functional importance: the anti-codon, which is responsible for specific mRNA codon recognition, and the 3' end, to which the tRNAs corresponding amino acid is attached (by aminoacyl-tRNA synthetases). tRNAs cope with the degeneracy of the genetic code in two manners: having more than one tRNA (with a specific anti-codon) for a particular amino acid; and 'wobble' base-pairing, i.e. permitting non-standard base-pairing at the 3rd anti-codon position. Lineage: Eukaryota; Metazoa; Chordata; Mammalia; Carnivora; Felidae. The record is from Rfam by way of RNAcentral.